This 3763-nucleotide long non-coding RNA is filed under the name Vigna radiata. Its description in RNAcentral is "long non-coding RNA (VRAD_LNC010239)". The record is from RNAcentral. Lineage: Eukaryota; Viridiplantae; Streptophyta; Magnoliopsida; Fabales; Fabaceae.
CCACUUGUUGGAAAAAGAAUGACUUAGUUUCAACACCAAGAGGGAGGGGAGGGGGGGGGGGUGAAUUGGUGAGUUUCAAAAGCCAGAGUCUUUUUCAAAUAUUUUUCGCAAAAUGUAAAGCUUUCAAAAGUUUCUUGAAUCAGAUAUGAAAAAGAUAAAUCAGUGCAACGAAAUAAAGUUGACUAUACUAAAAUUAAAGUCGACUUAAAAUAAAGAGUUCAGGGAUAGAGAAAUUCAAAUGCAGUUUUUAUACUGGUUUGCCCAAACUGCCUACAUCCAGUGUCUUUCCUGUAUCUAGAAGCAAAUGCACUAUAAUGAUCAAUGUUUUUACAACAAGGUUUCUAUAGAGACCUCCACGUCAAAAUAUAAAACACCACUCUAACCCUCUAACCAAAAUAUAGGUAAUCAACACCCAAAGAAAGCAGCAAGAUAUCCCCUCUCCUACAGUCUUUGUCAACUUUGAACAAUCCUCAAAGUUCCCAGAAUGCAGCACAUCCUCUUCCUGUAAUCACAACAGGGCAUCCACAAUCUUCACAAGAUUGAGAGAAGUGGUUGAUCAAUUUCCAGUACACCUCAAUUGUGUAGUCUGAUCAAUCUUUUCUAUCAGCACAACCUUGCUCUUCAAGCAACUAUCCAAGAAAGAUCUCUACCGUCUUCUUGAUGAGUUCUUGGAGCGUUUUCACAGAGAUCACAAACUGAAACGAUAGAAUGAAAAUGUCAGAAUAGCCAAUGUCUCUGAUCAACAAAAUCAUGUUUAUUUAUAGUUUUCUAUAAAUCAGACGCUUCUGUAUUCGACUACAAUACUAAUACAAUCGACUGUAUCAAGAUAGUUUUGAUAGUUAAAACAAUUAAUAGCAGUCAUAACAACCAAAUUGAUUACACAUUUAAUUCAGUUGACUUGCAAUUAAUGCUUUGACUAAAGAAUCAAAAUAUAGUUGUUAUAGUUAAAAAGCAUUAACAAAAUUUCAAAACAUAACUUACUAAGUCAAGUUGCCUACGCAUAUAGUUGACUAAGUCACCUCAAUGCAAUUUUGAAAAAAUUUCCUUUGCAAAACUACACACAACACUGUUUUUUAAAAUCGGUGCAAAGUCACGAGUUUUAAUCGACUUACUUCAUAAUGAAGUGGACUUAAAACUUGCAGUUUUGCCACACAAUAUAAGUUCAACAAAGUGCAUGUGGUUUUUCUUUUCUGAAACAUAUGUAAUGUAAUCACAUAUGAUAUCUCAUGUAGAAAAGUAGUGAAUAUGCAUACAUAUACAAAAUCAACACAAACAUGUUCUUUAAGAAUUCAAACACCAUAAAGUUUUGAACAUGUAACCCAUAUCAAAUCAUGUGUUAUUAGUAAUGUGUUGUCAUCAUCAAAAACCAGAACAUUGUGAGAUUAAGGUUUAGCUAAACCAGUGCUUCCCUUAUCAACAAUCUCAACACCAUUGUUGUAUGUUAAUAUCAAGUAUGAUAUAUUUCUUUGUUUAACUAUUGGGUUGAUUAUCUUUUACUAAGGUGUGUUACUUUGGGAGUAGCUCUUUCCAUGAUUAUCAUGAAAGAUUACUUGUAUAUUUUAUACAAGUAUGAAUUAUAUUAUUCUAGUUGAAAUUAGAAAAUUCAAUUGCAUGUGAUGAGUGUCUAAGAUUGGUAGAAUAGUCUCUUUGUAUGGUCAUCAUGAAAGAGUAAUUCUAUGUUUUUAUACAAGUAUGAAUUUGUAGUUGAAAAUAAAAAAGCCAAUUGCAUAUGAUCAGUAACUAAGAUUGGUAUAAUAGCCGCAUGGCCAUCAUGAAAGAGUACUUGUAUGUUUUAUACAAGUGUGAAUUGUAUUGUUCUAGUUUAAAGUAGGAAAGUCAAUUGCAUGUCAUAAGUGCCUCAGAUUGGUUGAGUAGUCUCUUUGCAUGUCAUCAUGAAAUAAUUAGACAUCUUAACAUCUUAAACCCAAUAAGAAUAAAUUUCAAAUUCACAAUUAUAAACCCAAAUAAAUAGAGUACUUUACCUCUUGUUGAGCUCUAAUAAACUCAAUCUUACUGUUGAAAGGCUUUUUGGCCGCACAAAAAGUCAACAAAACCUAAUCCCCACUAAUGUAGUAUAGGGCGGACUAGGGAUCAAUCCAAGGACUUGGCAAAAUCAAGUUUAGAAUUAUAGAAUUAAACCUAAUUACUAUUUACUAAAAACUAAAACUGGUGGGGAAAAUAAAAUGUAAAAAUGAAAUCUAAUAUGAAAAGAUAAUGCAAUGCAUGAUUGUGUGUAUCUAAAUGAUUAAUGCAAAGGAGUUAAACUAUUGAACCUAAGUAUCUACUAAAGAAACUAAAGAUCAUAUGCAUCUAAAACGAGUAAAGAAAUCAAAUGCUUAACUUUGGAAUACAGAUGCAGGAAAGAAAUGUGGAAGUAGUGAUUAGAAAUGAAUGGAUGCAUGAAACUAAUGCAUAAAUCUACACUAAACAGUAAUUGUGUUAUUUAUUUCAAUAUACUAUAACUAUGUAUUCAAAGAAAAGAAAAUAUCAGAACCUAAUAAAAUGCAUGUCAUCUAAAAUUCUAAAAACCAGAAUUAAGAAAGGAAAAUGUGUAUUCAGAGAACGAAAUGCGCAAUUGAAGAAUCCUAAUUCUAUCAAGGAGAAGUUCUAUUGCAAAGUGUGAAAAUAAAUCUCAAAUGUAAAAUAAAAUAUUGAAACAAAAUAAGAGGCAACAAAAGAAAACUAAGAACAGGAAACUGAAUUGAAAGAAUCAUAUAACUGAAUCAUAAAGGGCAAUGAAUAAAUCUACGCAACUCAGAAUAUAAAACUGAAACAUAAAAUCACUAAAUGAUAAGGCAGGGAAAGUAAAGUCAUGUGCGAGGAUCAAAAUUAAAAAGCGGAAUUGUAAAAUGGGAUCAAGAACACUAAAAGUAAACAUCAUAUUUCAAUUAAAAUUCAAGAACAAAAGUACAAAUUACCGGAAUCACUAAGAAAAUCACGGCCUGUCACCCUCAUGAGCUCCUCAGAAAAAUCCAGUGAAGCCAAGAUCGUAUCUACCUCUAAGAAAGCAGUAAAACCUAAACUACAAACAGAGAAUUGGAAACCCAGAACCCAGAGCCUAGAGCAAAGUCGAGAGCGGUGUCUGUCACCCUUGUGUUUUUAUACUUCACAAAACCUCCCUUUUAUAGGGAAAAAUCCAAACAACAAAAAAUGGAAAAAGGGGAAAAGGGAAGGAACUAAAAACUGACUCUCGAGUGUCCUCCAACGAACUUUGAAAGAGCUUCUUCAACUGUCGACCAACUCAGCACGUGCUCUUGAUGAUCAAGCUUCUCUGGUCCGAUUUGCUUUCUUCUAGGUUGAUUAUCUUCUUCUGGGUUGUCUUCUUAUGGCCCAUUGAGCUCGCUUCAUGCUUCGUCGCAUCACGUCUUCUUCGCUGAAGAACCCUAACUUUAGAAGUUGAGAGAAAAUGGGGAGAAAUCCCCAAAUCAAUUUUAGCCUCUGCACGAAUGGAUCACGUCCUCGAGCUUCACUCACAAGAGUAGCUUCAACGCAACGCAUCGUUUCAUUAAACUCUCCAAAAAAAGGCUUCAGCUUUUCUUUAUUCAAUGGCUCAAUUGUUUCUGUAGUAGUGGCCCAAAACAUUGCACACAUUACUUCAGCUUUUGAACCUUUGCUGACCCAAUUCAACUUUAUCAGCUUCAGCAAAUUAAACCUUAACACUUGAUGCUCAGCCUAAUCUAAUAAGCUCCAGAUUAGAAUUGGCCCAUUUACUCUACUAAGUUCAGCCCACUUUUCAAUUCAUUUAACACCAGCCCCCUUCCUU